GAAGAGUAGCCCCCGCUCACCGCAACUAGAGAAAGCCUGCGCACAGCAACAAAGACCCAACGCAGCCAUAAAUAAAUAAAUUUAUUUAAAAAAGAGCACACCAAGUAAUGGGUAGAGGACCUUCUUUUUUUUAAUUUAAUUUGGCUGCACGGGGUCUUUAGUUGUGCAUACAAACUCUUAGUUGUGGCAUGUGAGAUCUAGUUCUCUGACCAGGGAUCGAAUACAGGCCCCCUACAUUGGGAGCACAGAAUCUUAGCCGUUGGACCACCAGGGAAGUUAGAGGACCUUCCUGACGGAGGAAAUAAGUAGUUUUGCAAAGUAGAACGAGGGUGAUGCUUUAUUAUUUGUACAUUGGUUUGAAUUGGACACAGAAGCUUCCCAACCUAGAUCUCUGAGUUGAACACAUGUUGGAAUGGUGGUGGCUACUGAGAACCUACAACAAGGAAGAAGAGGCAAUCAGGACCCUUAUCCUGCUUAACAGUUUUAUCUAUGGUUAGAUUUGGGUCUAAACAAAGAAGAUACAUUCCCUGUACUCCAUGAAUUUAAAAUCUAAUUUUAAACAUACUUUGAAAAUUAGACAUAACAUGAAUCAUUUUGUUCCACCUCUGUGAAGAAGGGCCAGCAAGAGUAGUUUAGGGUAUCGUGAAUUGCUGUGACUGUCAAGGUCUGGAGUUGCACUUUAUCUGGAUCAAUAUGGACAUGUUUACUUAGAAAAUAGUUCUGAGCCUAGUUGACGAUAAAACCCUAAGUACUUUAUUGUGCAUUUGUUCGUGUAUUAAAAAUUAUAAAAGCAGUGAAGACUUAAGGGAAGGGGAAUUUUAAUACACAUUUGUUCAUGUAUUAAAAAUUAUAAAAGCAGUGAAGACUUAAGGGAAGGGGAAUUUAAAAAUUGAGAAAGUCCUUUCUAUUUCUCUUUUAAUUCACAACUGGUUUAUAGAUGUGGCAUUUACAGAUUUUUUUCUUAAUGCGCUCAUUCUCACUUUAUUCUCUCUAUUGUAAGAAUUACUUUAAUUACUUUUAUACUGUAUAGAUGGGGAAAUGGAGACGCAGAUCUGGCUCAGGUCACAUAGCAAAGGAUUGGGAGUCAAAAACGUGAAUUCAGACCUCCUGAUAUUCUAUCCAAUAAUCUUUCACUGUCUUGUACUGCUUGGAGGUAUCUCUGUUUUCAUUUUGGUUUAAAGUUUUUCUUUUAGCUGUUUUAGGGUUUUUUUUAACAACAAUAAUACACAGUCAUUAAAAAUUUUUCAGAAAAUACAGAAAAGAAGAAUGAAGAGAGUAAGGAUAUAUUCCUGUAUAUAUAUGUUUAUAUAUCCUCCUAUAUUCUUACUGCCUAGAAAUCACUGCUAAUAUUUAACUAUAUCUGUCUUCAGACUUGUUUAAAUAUAUACAUUCACAGAUAUAUUUAUAGAUAGGGUUUUUUAAAUGAGAUCAAACUAUUCCUAAUUUUGUAACUUUUUCAUCUCAAAUAUAAUUUGCUGUCAGUAAAUAUCUAUGUCAUAAUUUGUUACAUAGAAUUGCAUUGUAUGAAUGUAUCAUUAUUUAGUUAGACUCCUACUGAUGGACUUCUAGGUGGUUUCCAAUUUUUUGCUAUUAUAAAUAAUGUGAUAAAAUCCCUAAUAUAUGAUUCCUUUUAUAUUUUCUGGUUACUUCUUUAAGAAAAAUUUCCAGGAAUAUCCAGUUACCAGGUCAAAAGCUGCAGAUAUGGCGAAAACUUUAGGCCACCAGAGGGCAUUGCAGUCAGCCUCCUUUAUCAUCACUAUAAAUCACUGCUGUCAGAGAUGCCUAGUGAAAAUUGUUCCCAGUUUAACCAAAAAGAGAAGCAUUCUUAGACUCCAUGAGCAGUCUGCAUAGGACCUGUGGCUUGAACUUGGUGGAGCGCUACCUUGAAGCACCCUUUUUAUCUAUAAAAGUGAAGAAUGGAGUAGGUAGUAUUUUGCUGAAAUUAUAUUCUUUUACUUUUUCCUUUCCCCAAGCCUAUGCCUAAACUUUUAAUUUGUCAUCCACAAUUUAUAAUCUUCUCUUGGCCAGAUAUUAAAGCUGGCAGCUCUCAAUCUCUAUAGAAACUGAAGGCAGAGAAACAAUGGACAGAGCCUUUGUCCAGUAGCAUCCACCUCUUUACUGGUCUUUACUGACACUAAUAAAAACUUGCAAAAUUGACUGAUCCGCA
Molecule: non-coding RNA, 2167 nt
Organism: Delphinapterus leucas (beluga whale)
Lineage: Eukaryota; Metazoa; Chordata; Mammalia; Artiodactyla; Monodontidae
Source: RefSeq, a predicted model, not a curated record